CCUACGGGAGGCAGCAGUGGGGAAUUUUGGACAAUGGGCGCAAGCCUGAUCCAGCAAUGCCGCGUGAGUGAAGAAGGCCUUCGGGUUGUAAAGCUCUUUUGUCGGGGAAGAAACGGUGGAGGUUAAUACCUUCUGCUAAUGACGGUACCUGAAGAAUAAGCACCGGCUAACUACGUGCCAGCAGCCGCGGUAAUACGUAGGGUGCAAGCGUUAAUCGGAAUUACUGGGCGUAAAGCGUGCGCAGGCGGUUGUGCAAGACAGAUGUGAAAUCCCCGGGCUCAACCUGGGAAUUGCAUUUGUGACUGUACGGCUAGAGUGUGUCAGAGGGGGGUAGAAUUCCACGUGUAGCAGUGAAAUGCGUAGAGAUGUGGAGGAAUACCGAUGGCGAAGGCAGCCCCCUGGGAUAACACUGACGCUCAUGCACGAAAGCGUGGGGAGCAAACAGGAUUAGAUACCCUGGUAGUCCACGCCCUAAACGAUGUCUACUAGUUGUCGGGUCUUAAUUGACUUGGUAACGCAGCUAACGCGUGAAGUAGACCGCCUGGGGAGUACGGUCGCAAGAUUAAAACUUAAAUGAAUUGACGG
RNAcentral lists this ribosomal RNA (585 nucleotides) under uncultured bacterium. RNAcentral's name for it is "bacterial SSU rRNA". It matches the Rfam family "Bacterial small subunit ribosomal RNA", at positions 338 to 916 of the family's 1533-position model. The record is from RNAcentral.